CCUGGUGAGCACCUGUGCCACACGGCAUCCUGGUGAGUGCCUAUGCCACGCAGCGUCCUAGUGAGCGCCUGUGCCACGCGGCGUCCUGGUGAGCGCCUGUGCCACGUGGCGUCCUGGUGAGCGCCUGUGCCACACGGCGUCCUGGUGAGCACCUGUGCCACACGGCGUCCUGGUGAGCACCUGUGCCACACGGCGUCCUGGUGAGCACCUGUGCCACGUGGCGUCCUGGUGAGCACCUGUGCCACGCGGCGUCCUGGUGAGCGCCUGUGCCACGCGGCGUCCUGGUGAGCACCUGUGCCACGCGGCGUCCUGGUGAGCGCCUGUGCCACGCGGCGUCCUGGGACAGCUUUCAGCGCUGGGUCCCGCCGGCCCCAACAGCCGCCCCGGCCCCCAAACAGCCGGCCCAGACCCGGGCAGGAACGAGGCGAUCGGGUGGCUGUGGUCAGGGUGUCGGAGCCCCCGACACCCUUCUCCUGUUUUUCCUGCGUUCUGAAUCCCGGGAGAGUCAGCGGCAGAAGUCGGACAGACGGAAAUAAACCUGCUUGCUCUGCUCCUGCUUGGAGCGGGUUCGGGGCCAGGAUCUCGGGUCAGUAUCGGCAGGAGCUUGCUGAUUACUCACUGUUGGAGGCUGCCGCAGGCAGGCGAUCGGGCGUCCAGUGGACAGAAUCCCCAGAGGGCAGAGGGAGAGGGGAGAGAGCUCCAAGGGGCUUGCCUGCUUCCUCUCCGGAUCCCACACAUCGAGGAAGCCACUCUCCUUCCCAGGGGCGAGUGACACAAGCCAGACUUGGGGAAGUUUCCAGAACUUUCCUGAGGCGGCCGUCCUAGGAUCCUUCUGCCGCUGUCACCAAGGUCACAGCCACAUCAGGCCACCCAGGCCCCCGCUCUGGUCCUGUGAGGGGCGGAAGCCCAGGCUGGCCCAGCGCCUUCUCCG
RNAcentral lists this long non-coding RNA (931 nucleotides) under Oryctolagus cuniculus (rabbit). RNAcentral describes it as "lncRNA (ENSOCUG00000036744.1)". The record is from RNAcentral. Lineage: Eukaryota; Metazoa; Chordata; Mammalia; Lagomorpha; Leporidae.